CUGUGCGUGUGACAGCGGCUGAA
Molecule: non-coding RNA, 23 nt
Filed under: Cervus elaphus (red deer)
Lineage: Eukaryota; Metazoa; Chordata; Mammalia; Artiodactyla; Cervidae
Also listed under: 1 other name
Source: RNAcentral